Molecule: long non-coding RNA, 630 nt
Filed under: Homo sapiens (human)
Lineage: Eukaryota; Metazoa; Chordata; Mammalia; Primates; Hominidae
Description: non-protein coding lnc-LRRC61-2:3
Source: RNAcentral
AUCUUCCAGGACAAGUGAAGGCAACCCAGUUAGGAGGCAUCUGGGACUUUCCUGGCCAACUCUGAAGACAUCAAGUUGAACCAUGACCCGGAUUCGGUCUUGGAAGCAGAUGAGAGGGUAAAGAGUUGAAGCCAGGUCUACACUCUGAUUCCUCCAAGUCACCGAGUGGUUUCAUGUGAAAGGGGUCUGGGCAGGAGUGAGCCGAGGUUAGCGGUGGUAUUUCAGUGAUUUGGCAAAUGUGCACAGAUGGCUCAUAAACCGCCCCCCCACAUGCCACCGACAGGAAACUACCACUUGACAACACGCCUGCUUCUGCCGCAUCACAGACUUAGCAGAGUCUGUUCAGAAUCUCCUUGCAUUUCCAAAUGAAGCUUGGAUGUUAGCAGAUGUUAAACCCAAGAACAGGUACACCUGGGCUCUAAAUUCAUCUUCUGACUGAAGUUGAAGAUAAAACCUGAUACCAGUUUGGAGUAGAAAGAGACACAGUAUUGUAAUCAUAAAUGACAUUUGACCUUAAAACAGUAACACAGCAAAUUUCUAAUUAAAGUGGAGCAUGUCCUGUCUUGACUGAGGCACCAAGACGAUUUGUUGCAGAUUGUUGCUGGCAGUGUGCAGUCCCCAAGACCAAAU